AGCUCGUGUCGUGAGAUGUUGGGUUAAGUCCCGCAACGAGCGCAACCCUUAUUAUCAGUUGCCAGCAUUAAGUUGGGCACUCUGGUGAGACUGCCGGUGACAAACCGGAGGAAGGUGGGGAUGACGUCAAAUCAUCAUGCCCCUUAUGACCUGGGCUACACACGUGCUACAAUGGAUGGUACAACGAGUUGCGAACUCGCGAGAGUAAGCUAAUCUCUUAAAGCCAU
This 227-nucleotide ribosomal RNA is filed under the name Lactiplantibacillus plantarum. RNAcentral describes it as "partial 16S ribosomal RNA". It matches the Rfam family "Bacterial small subunit ribosomal RNA", at positions 1057 to 1285 of the family's 1533-position model. The record is from RNAcentral. Lineage: Bacteria; Bacillati; Bacillota; Bacilli; Lactobacillales; Lactobacillaceae.